Molecule: long non-coding RNA, 1761 nt
Organism: Cyprinus carpio carpio
Lineage: Eukaryota; Metazoa; Chordata; Actinopteri; Cypriniformes; Cyprinidae
Source: Ensembl
AUUCAGUGGUGGUUUUGUAGGCAAACAUUAAUGCCUUGAAUUUUAUGCGAGCAGCUAUUGUGCAUUAUUUUCGGCUCAUUAAAAAUUAAUCUUGCUGCUGCGUUCCGGAUUAAUUGUAAAGGUUUGAUAGAACUGGCUGGAAGACCUGCCAAGAGAGCAUUGCAAUAGUCCAGCCUGGACAGAACAAGAGCUUGAACAAGGAGUUGUAAAGUAUGUUUCGAAAGAAAGGGCCUGAUCUUCUUGAUGUUGAAUAAAGCAAAUCAUCAAUCAUAACUCCAAGGUUUCUGGCUGUUCUUGAAGGCGUUAUGGUGUCUAAACUGGAUGGUUAAACUGUGAUGAAUUUAUGGGUUUGAUGGAUCCACAAGGCAAGGCAAGGUUGUGUUGAAGGAAUGCAAGAAAUGUCUGUUAGACUGCUGAGAUGCGAGCAGCUACCGUCGGAUCAUCAGGAUGGAAUGAGAGGUAGAGUUGAGUGUCAUCAGCAUAGCAGUGAUAUGAAAAGCCAUGUUUCUGAAUGACAGAACCUAAUGAUGCCAUGUAGACAGAGAAGAGAAGUGGUCCAAGAGCUGAGCCCUGAGGCACCCCAGUAGUUAGAUGUUACGACUUGGACACCUCACCUCUCCAAGAUACCUUGAAGGACCUAUCUAAGAGGUCGAUGCGUCUAAGACCAGCACUCUUGAGGCCGCUGCCAAACCUGAAGAACCUCCGGCGCCAAAACCAGAGGAGAAGAAACUAGAAAAGAAAUCCACUUUUGGAAACAUGUUCAAACCCAAGGCACCAGAGCCCAAGAAGGACACUCCAGCUGCUCCUCCCGUGGCAGAAGCCGCUCCACCCGCAAAGGCCAAAGAGGAGCCGAGACCCACCACUCCUGCACAGCAAGCGGUCCCGGACAACAAAUCAGCCGACAGCACAGGGAACGCCUCCCCCAACAUGCCCCACAAGCUGGAGAAGAGGAACUCCCUCCAGCUGUUCUUCAAAAACCUGGUUAAGUAGAAACCCAGAGAUUCUCCAGGGCUAGGUAUUCCACCCACACAACUGUGGGAGCAUUCGCAAGCUGUGUAGUUUAACUCUUCAGUUGUAUGUAGUUUGCCAGUUAAAUGCUGUCGAGAAACGUUUUCUGAUGUCUAACCAUCCUGAUUAUUUCGAUAUUGCUGGCUAUUAAUCUUAAAACAGUGAUCUUUGAGGUGAGGAAUUAAAAAUACAAAAAUCAAGAUUUACAGUGUAUGACCACUAGAGGGACUCAAUUAUCAACCUAUCUAGAUUAUUCGAUCAGUUCCAUAGCAGCUUAUUUGUGUUGCGUUUUAAUAAACUGUAAUAAAUAUUUUAAAUUAUUUAAUUAAACUGGGCACUAAAAUUUAGCAUGUAAUUUUUUUUUAUUGCAUGAAAUCUCAAUCUCAUCAUCUAAUAUGUAAUUCUAAUCUUUGUUACGAUAUAUAUAACUUCUUCAUAAAUAAAAAAUACUUUUUGUCAUGUAAUAUAAUUGUAUCUAUCCACAAUUAUGGUUAUUUCAAGCGGGAUCAUCCCUGAUAAUGUAUCUCGGACAAAAGGUUGAUGACAACUAAAUGAUCUCAGAUAAUAAAGCACACAAAUUCACCAAAGCUGCGCUUUAAAGACGUGUUGGAGCAAGAUCCGCUUUUGCAAAUAAAGACCCAGUUGUCAAACGGGUUUUGCUUCAGGCACCAUUACAGACGAGCAGUAAAACCACACACUUUCUUGCUAAGUUAGGAUCACUAAUGUUGCAUUAUGCGUUGGUGUGUCUCACAG